AUGUUUCAUAUAACUCAAUCAGACGCCCGUAAUACUUCCCUGCAGCGAGACCUUCUAGUCCCACUCUUCUCCAACAGAGCUCCCUCACUGAGCGAGCAUUCGGCAUUCCUAGUAUGCUCCACUCAUUCUACGCCAAGCACCCAAUCACGGGAUCAGAAUCACACUCUAGAUCAUACCUUUCACGAAAGAAAAGGACAGGCAGCCGCUGCUAAACCAAGAUCUCCAUCUCUUGACUCC
This 237-nucleotide ribosomal RNA is filed under the name Triticum aestivum (bread wheat). Its description in RNAcentral is "partial small subunit ribosomal RNA". The record is from RNAcentral. Lineage: Eukaryota; Viridiplantae; Streptophyta; Magnoliopsida; Poales; Poaceae.